Molecule: non-coding RNA, 1425 nt
Organism: Peromyscus maniculatus bairdii (prairie deer mouse)
Lineage: Eukaryota; Metazoa; Chordata; Mammalia; Rodentia; Cricetidae
Source: RefSeq, a predicted model, not a curated record
CAGAGAUGCUGCCUCCAGUGCUGCCACCAUGGAAGAGCUGUCUGUGCCCCUAGACACAGAGCAACUUCUCCCAGUGAAGAAGGUCCACACUCCUACAAGAAUCUAGUAAAGGAGCCUGUGAACAGGAAGAGCAGAAAUGAUUCCAUUUACAGUUGAGAAUUAGCAGCCAGACUGGAAUGAAGAAUGCCAUGGUUCCUGUCCUAGAGCUGCCGACGAGCUGAAGAGUCAUCGGCUUCCCCUCUUGGGUUCCCUGUCUUGAAAAUGAUUGCUGUGGAAGGACGUUAUCUGCCUCCAAACUCUCAUCUGCAUUCUGGGAAAUCCAGGAUAAUACAUGCUGGCAAACAGUGCUCAGCUGAGCCUGGCCCUGAUCUAAGUUCUACGAAGAAGGAAGAGGAAGAGGAUGAAGAGGAGGGAGAAGAGGAGGAGGACCGAGCUCACAGUGAAGCAUGCAUACCAGAAUAAGGAUGGACAACUUUCACAUCUUGUUAAUCAUGAACUUCAUAUUACCAUCUCAGAAAACCGAUCCUGUCUCCCAGUGAUAAAGAUGAAACAGGAGUGAGUCUGCUUCCUGGAAAACAGCUCAUGUUUCAGUAGCUGGGCUGCACCCCCGGCUGGCCCUGACAGCUCCCGUCCAGCCCCAUGCCUUCUCUCAGCAUCAGUCCACGAAAAGAUGCUUUCAGGAACAUCUGCAUUCUCUCAUGCGGGAAGACAAGCAGAGCGGACAUCCUGCAGAAGGAAAUACCAGGACCGACCUGUUGGGUACCAGCAGACCCUGCUCAGGGUUAAAUGCGCAGAAUCACAGAUAUGCCCCCUCCAUGGAGCAAGCAAUUGAAGCUGUAAAUGCUGCAGAAAACUUCUGUCGUGCUUUUCAUGUCUCCAAAUGCCAACCUCCGGUGUGCUGGGGCAGGGUCUGGACUUCAUGGUGCAAGUAAAAAAUAAACAUUCACAGCAACAGUUCUUUCCAAAAACACCUUGAAAUUCCUCAUGAAUCUUGGACUGUGUAGCAGUUGGCUGAGAAAGCAUUAUGCUUUAAAUACUUAUUAAGCGUUUAAUAAAUAUCUGCUGAAAAUCAACCUAGUUUGAAGUUGGAAACUUACCUGAGAGGUCACCUAGCCUAGGCACAAAGUAUCUUUUAAGAAGGUGAAAAUGAAAAAUUAGCUUCCCUGCCACCAACCGAGAGCCUAGCUAUUGUCUUUGAAUUCCUCCACGAUACCUGGGCUCAGAGGCAUAUGGGUCCUUUCAAUUUUGGCAGUCAAAAUUUAAUUAAUCAUAUUGAGUUAUUAUGAUACUUCACUCUUUUUGGUCAGGAAUUUGCUUUGUAUUGUGCAUGUUCAUACUGAAUGUAAGAAAAAUUAAUAUUGACUGAUCAAUGCUUGUUCUGAGUUUUUUAGCAUUUAUAAAGAAUAUAAUAAAUAAAUCUGUGGU